Molecule: long non-coding RNA, 1597 nt
Filed under: Junco hyemalis (dark-eyed junco)
Lineage: Eukaryota; Metazoa; Chordata; Aves; Passeriformes; Passerellidae
Description: lncRNA (ENSJHYG00000004102.1)
Source: RNAcentral
GCGGUCCCGGGGCGGUCCCGGUACCGGGGGGACCCCGCUCCGAAUCCCCCGUUGAUCCCCGGGAGCCCCGGCCAGGCCCAGCCCCCGCGCCGGCUCCCGGUGGCGGCGGCGGAGCGGGGGCAGCCCCGGCGGGGAGCGGGGGGGCGCGGGGCGGAGCGCGGAGCCCGCUCGGGGCUGCGGAUGCUCCGUCCGGCACCGCCGGUGGCAGCGGGGCGGGCGCCAGCCCGGCUCUGGGCGUCUGUAACGGGCAGCGCGACCGCGACGGAGCCGCCGGUACCGGCUCUUCAACGGCGGUACCGGCACCGGUACCGGCAGCGCUCCGGCCCUGCUAUCCCAGCACCGGCAUCAGUCCUUGGAUCCCGGCACCAGGACCGACCGGCCUCACUGACACCGGCACCGCCACUGACACCGGUACCGGCUCUUCUUCCCCGGCACAAGGUCCGGUGUCCCCGCCACCGGGACUACACCCCGUUAUCCUCCCCCGGCACUGGGACCACUCCGAUUCCCCGGCAUUGCUCGUCCUUCUCCUCCACCGGCACCGACCGGCCCUUCCCGGCUCCUCGGGCCCCCGCCUGCCGCAGCUUUGAAAACCCAUGAGUGGUGGGAACAGAGAGCUGGGCACGGUGGAGUGAGCACAAGGAGCACCCAGGCCAGCACAGGGAGACACUGUCCCCUGGCCUGGCAGGGACACGGAGCAGGGACCAGCCAGGACCCUUCAGGGACCAGCCCAGGGGCGUUCUGGUAGGAGCAGCCAGGGGUGGUGGGCAGCACUGGGCAUACUGGGGAUACUGGGGAUGCUGGGAUGGCUGUGAUGGGGCCAUGAGAACCCUGCAUGGUGAGGGGCAGGGGCUGCAGUGCUGGGUGGGAGGGGGACAGGGCCCUGCAGGGUCAGGGGAGGGAUCUCUUGGAACCACACCCGGAAUGCUUUGGGCUGGAAAGGACCUUAAAGGCAAGGGACCUUAAAGACCCCCCCUGCCAUGGGCAGGGGCACCUUCCCUAGAGCAGGGCCCCUCUCAGGCCCAGCCCCACUGCUCAUUGCCCUGCUCACCCCUCCUUUGGCUGUUUUGGUGCCUUGCCAACGGUGCCAGCAGUGCCACCAGCACCAGCCAGGCUCUGCCGGGGGCUGGGGCAAUCACCCGUGGAUGAUCCGAGGUUAACAAGUGGCUCCUGCAAAGGAGAAGCAAAGCAAGAGCUGAGAUUAUAUAAAGGGGGCUGGAGGCAGCUGCGGCACAGGCUGUGAUUAAUUCCUGGCACCGAGGAGCUCUGAAGAUCCAGGGCGGUGCGCUGGGAGGAUGAGGCAGCCCAGGGUCCCUGGGAUGCAUUCCUGCUGCUGCUGCAGGGCUGCUGUGAGGGGAGGGGGACAGGGAGGGGCUGAGCACUCCAGGGACCCGCUGGGGGCUGACUCAGCACCGCGGUGCCCUGCAGAGCCCGUCCUGCAGAUCCCCUCUCCCUCCCAAAACCACGGCGGGGACACGGCUCAGGGCAGGCCAGCCCAUGGAGAGAGGGGAGAGAGGCAGCGAGGGGUGGUGGGGACAGGACAGCCCUUCCCUGAGGCCAUGGGCCCCCUCAGGACAAUGGAAACUUGGUGUUAGAAGAA